RNAcentral lists this ribosomal RNA (497 nucleotides) under uncultured bacterium. RNAcentral describes it as "partial 16S ribosomal RNA". It matches the Rfam family "Bacterial small subunit ribosomal RNA", at positions 28 to 507 of the family's 1533-position model. The record is from RNAcentral.
GAUGAACGCUGGCGGCGUGCCUAAUACAUGCAAGUCGAGCGAACAGACGAGGAGCUUGCUCCUCUGACGUUAGCGGCGGACGGGUGAGUAACACGUGGAUAACCUACCUAUAAGACUGGGAUAACUUCGGGAAACCGGAGCUAAUACCGGAUAAUAUAUUGAACCGCAUGGUUCAAUAGUGAAAGACGGUUUUGCUGUCACUUAUAGAUGGAUCCGCGCCGCAUUAGCUAGUUGGUAAGGUAACGGCUUACCAAGGCAACGAUGCGUAGCCGACCUGAGAGGGUGGUCGGCCACACGGGAACUGGGACGCGGACCAGGCGCCUGAGGGAGGCAGCAGAAGGGAAUCUUCCGCAAUGGGCGAAAGCUUGACGGAGCAACGCCGCGUGAGUGAUGAAGGUCUUCGGAUCGUAAAACUCUGUUAUUAGGGAAGAACAAAUGUGUAAGUAACUAUGCACGUCUUGACGGUACCUAAUCAGAAAGCCACGGCUAACUACGUG